GAGAGGAUGAUCACUACUCCGGAACUGACACACGGUCAAUUUUCCACAAUGGAGCUCAAGCCUGAUCAAUAUUGGACAAUGUGCGAAAGCCUGAUCCAGCCAUGCCGCGCUCUUUCACAAGGGAAAAUAAUUGCAAUAACCUUUAAAUUGGCCCCGGGGUUGUUCGAUGACAACCCUGCCAUUUUGACGUUUCCGACUGAAUUUGUCCCGAAUUAACUGUGUGUAAUCAGCCGCGGGCGGACAUUGGUGCAGCGUUAAUCGGAAUUACUGGGCGUAAAGAACUGCCUUUGAUACUGGUUGUCUGGAUGUGAAAUCCCCGGAGCUCAACCUGGGAACUGCAUUCGAACUGACUGACUAUUCGUAGGAACACAGUGGCGAAAUUUCCUGUGUGGUCCGGAAUGCACGCUGAUGUGAAAGAACACGAGUGGCGACAGCGAUCACCUGCACUGAAUACUCCACGCCGAGGAGCAAGAGUGUGAGGCGUCAAGCAGAUUUACUGUCCGUGGUAGCCCCGACGCAAACGAUGUCCCCUCUGCGUAGUACGCCUUGAGCUUUUAAAGUCGCAGCUAUCGAAUUAGGCCGACAGCCUGGGGAGUACGUGCGCAUGAUUCAACUCAACGGAUUGACCUUACCCCCCACAGACGUCCGGAGCUGGGGAUUUGAUUCAAGCUUCGUUAAUUCCUUUCCAGGCA
This 692-nucleotide ribosomal RNA is filed under the name bacterium. RNAcentral describes it as "partial 16S ribosomal RNA". It matches the Rfam family "Bacterial small subunit ribosomal RNA", at positions 294 to 980 of the family's 1533-position model. The record is from RNAcentral.